UAUAGUCUAUUUGUUAUAAAUAUUAUAUAUAUAUGGCAUGGAUAUAUAUAUAAUUAACAAAGAAUAAAAAAAUUAGUCCAAAGUAAUUAUUUUAAUUAGAGGUGUAUUUCUAUUAAUUCUUCACAGUAUAGGUCGGAAUUGUUAUUUGUACACUUAAUGGGUAUUUAUUUUAAACAAACAGGUUACAUAUACGGUUACUGCUCGUUUAAACAUUACAAUUAUUUGUUACAUCCUUAGAAUACAAUUUACUGUAACAUUUUGUGCGUUACUAAUCUAUAUCUGUGUGGUAACGUCACAUACCGAAGAAAAUGCCUAUAAUUUAUUACAACAAACUUCUCCAUUAAUUCUUAACCUCGUAAUCGCUAACCAUACGCAUCGAUAGACACUCCCAGCAACUACAGAAGCUUCAAAAUAUUUAAAUAUUUUAAAUCGGUUCUUCGAUAGUACGAAUCCUUUUACACAACAAUUUUGCUUAGAGCAAAUAAAAUCAUCUGUCAUUUACUUCCAUGUAUUUGCUUCCAAGGAUAAUUCUCUUGGAAAUAUAUAAUUUUUUUAUUGAAUACACAACACUGUAGAAUGCCCGAUUUCAAUUUUGCACUAUUCAUUUUCGAUUUAUAAAAAGUAUUCGUGAUAUUUAUAUCUUUGAUUGAAAUAUUAAAAAAAGUAAGUUCUUAUGCAAAAGAAAAAUAAUUCUUUUGCGAAAAUAUAAAGCCGAUCCCCACUAGGCGGCAAUAGUAAAAUGCAGUUGUCGUAUCGUGUCGUUGAUGGAUCAUAAAUAUAUUAUAUAUUUGACAAUAUAUUAAUAUUAUUAUACACAUAUAAUAUAUAAUAUAAAUAUAAUAUAUUAAUAGUAUUAAUAUAUGUAUAUGUAUAGAAUGUGAAUUAUAAUAAUAUUCAUAUAGGAGCCUCUUAUUGUAGCAUACAAAUAUUAUUAUAACAGGAAUAUAAUAUUAUAAAUAGAUUCAAUAUAUUAGAUCCUUCUCUAUAUAGAUGUAUUUUAGCGUGUAUUUGCCGAGACUCGACGUGUCGCAGUGUGAAUCGGCUUUCAAUCAUUAUCAAAUAUUUUUUUCUUGGUUUUUCACGAUUAGAGAUAAAUCUGAAUAUUUGAAUGUUCGAUUCAUUUAUCAUAUGUCGAGUUUCAUAGACAUUUUCAACGAUAGCAAUAUUUUCAUUAGCUUUCUACAAAUGAUCUUAUGAGGUAACGUGAAAAUGCAAGAAAAUUGGAACCGAUAAAGCAUGAAUGAUGUUAAAAACGUUUAAUUACACGCGAAAAAUUCGAAAAGCGUGAUUCAAGCUUGCAAUACUUUUUUUUUUCCAUUGUUUAUCAGAUUGAGAGAUAAGUGAAAAUGUAUGAAAUUGUAAGAAAUUGAAAAAUAUCUUUUAUAUGCACAAUGACAAGUGCAAAAGUUCUUUAAUAUCUACUAUUUAUAGAUUGAUUUCAUAUUGUUUUAAUUGGAAAAUAUAUGAUUGAUGAGUUUCAGUUAUAAUAAAGAGAGAUUUAAGAGAUUCACCUCUCAACAUAAAGUUUUACUGAUGUAAUAAUUGUAUGAUAUAUUGCAUAAUAUUCAAAUUUUCUUCAUAAUGUGUAUUUUAAUAUGAGAAUACUGUACAGAAUCGAGCUCUUUGCGGAUUUUCAAUUUUCUGAACCGCAUUUAAACUUUAAUUCGAAAAUGCUUUCAAAAUUUGUUUAUUAUAACAACUUUUUGAUAAAUUUUUCACAAAGUUAUUUCAAUAUAAGAGUUAUCAGAAACAAGUGCAAAAAUUUAUGUGAUAUAUUUCCAAAGAUAUAUUAUGUAUGUGCAUAUAAUAAUUGUCUUUCGUACAAAUAGAAAGUACAUACAAUCAUGUUUUGCGUGAUGUACGAUAGAAACAUUGCGGUACGUGACAAUGCAUAACAGGAAUCGGUGAUGCACAUUGAAAAUAUUUACAGAAGAAAUAAACAGCAAUUAAUAUCAACAAUUAGGUCGUUAACGAGACUGAUAAGACCAUAACAGGUUUGCACAUUUAAUAUUCAAGAGUAUAUUAUAUUUAAAGAAAUCGAUAGUUUUUUAAAAGAAUUUUCUUCAUUUCAUUCUUGGAUAUUCGCAUGAAAUGAAAGAAAUCAGCUGGUCAAAUUUAUAUAAUUUAAAUAAUACGAUGUAACAUCUGAAUAAAAUUAUUCUAAAGUAAAAUCUUUUGACAAAUAUUUUAUAAAUUUUUUGACACAAUGAACGUCGUGCUUUAUAGGACGAAACGAUGUAUAAUAUACAAUAAUAACAUUAUAACGCGAUAAGUUUAUUUUGUAGCUAAUUAAUCAGGUGUUCUGUUCAAAAUAGUUCAAAAAUUUCUAAUCGUUGAUAAAAAUAAAUCGAACAUUAAUAUUAAAUAUAGGGGAAACUUAGCAUUUUCGAUAUAAUACUUAUGUCUUAUUUAAAGGGAAUUUAUAAAAUAUAUUGGGUACAAACAGUUAAACACAGAGUCUUUUAAUUAUUUCGAAUGGUGCGUCUAAUUAUAAUACAUAUAUCUUUCAUCCCUUUCCUCGAAGGAAUAAAAAAUAAUUUUCAUCGAAUAAAUUACCACGUAUAUUACCAAACUUUAAUUCUUUAUGCCCUUUUUCAACGAUCGAUAGUCAAUCAUUCAGGAUAAAAAAGAAUCAGGAUGUUCCAGAGAACAGCGCAAAAGAGGAGCGAAAUAAAGGAGAAGAACGAGUGCUCUUAACGAUCGUAAAAAGCAGCGGUAACGUUUUUAGGCCUGCUAAAAACAACGUAUACUUCUUCUACUGGUAAAUUCGACAAAACCGAAGGAAGAUGGACUAGAUAAAAAUAGAAUACGAUACGAAACGCGCACCCAUUACAUGGCAGUUCGACCGGGCCGUUCGAAGCCUCUUUUUAUGUCGAAUUAUUGCGUCUACGGGGUUGUGAAAGCAUCUGUGCCUGCCUACAUAUGUGUAUAAAUGCGCGUCUUAUGUUUUAUAUAUGUAUCCAUAAUCGUGUGUCGUUACGGUGCGGAUCUAACGCGUAAAAAUAUAUGCCUCUAAUCAUCGAAAAAUAACUCGCAGUACCAAUAUGACGGGAUGGACAUAUCCUUAAAAGUUAAAACGAUAUAACUUCGACGACACGUUUAUCGAUUAAACAUGUUGUUUGCCUCAGACAUGCGCCGUCUUGCCGGUUAUAAUUUCCUUUUUUUUUUUCGACCAAUCGAUCCUCCAUUGAUUUUUUGUAAUCAUAUCGUACGCGUUAUCAUUACGUGCAUAUACCUCGUUAUUAUUUGAAUUGGACUUACAUUAAACAUGAUGUUAGAAUAAAAACGACGAAUUCAAUCGACUAGUUAAUUAUAUCGCGGCGAACUUAUCGAUGUGUGAACGAUAAGUUGCAUGUGACAUUACCUCGAAAAGGAAAGAAAUAAGAUCGACUCUCGAGUGAUUAUCAAAGAUUGCAACUGCUAUCAUUUCCUCGAAUCAAUUCAUUCACAAGUACAUGCUUUGCACCCUAUCCUCUCCGUGCCGAGAAUUCGUUUGAUAUUUUGAAAUUUAUUCGAUGCUGUUGUAAUUUUUCACUGUUCUCGUUCGCGAAUCUUCGCACGAAAUCCACGGACGAUUCGAUACGAAUGGCCGAAUCGUCGAGUCUCGACGACGGUUCGUACGGUUAAAAUUAUACGAAGGGAGGAGCAGAACACGGCGAUGGCACACCCGUGGUAACAUCGUGCCAUCGAAAUUUUUAAUCAAUUUUCGAUAUAUCGGGGCUCACGAUCGCAAACAAUCCUUGCUGAGCAUUGUCAACCACCACGAUAAAUUUCGUGUUAACGUAUGAACGAGGGAAUUUAUCGAUCGUGCGUUCAUUUCGAACGCACGAAUACGAGUUUGGCGGCUGAUUAAACGAAAACUUUCGAGUAUACAUGGACAAGCGAUUAAAUCGACUCGAAUAAUCGGAUCUGCACGAGGAAACGCGCCAACCGCGGUUCUUUUACGAAUUUACGAAAGACCUUCCAGCCAAUUAAUUCGUCCAGCUCGUUCCGUUUCCAUUGAUGAUUGGACGAAACUCGAGACAACCUUCUUCGAGUAACAGCAUUCUUCGAAUUCAUACUUGACCGCGAUUCAAUUCGACGAUAGUUCAUUUCAUGAUUCGUUGAGUUUCGUGGCAAGCAACGUGAUCUUGUUAUCGUCUCGUUAAAUUUUCCAAUUUAUUAUUCGCGAAAUAUAACAGGAUUCGUUCCAUACAUCGAUGAAAUGCCUAUUCGAGAACGUCGAGAUAUAGGAUAAUGAUUAAAACCACGCUCACACGAUUGUGUGCGCGUAUAUAAUCUUAAAACGUAUUAUAAGCAUAUAUGUAUAUAUAUAUAUAUAUAUACUAAUCUAAAAUAUACUGUGCCACUUCAACGUGAAUUGGUACCGUAAUAUGAAUUAUCAAGAUAUAAAUUCGAAGUUUCAUUUUGUUUAUUCAGAAUAGAUACUAUCCAUAUCUUUCGUAAUACUAUAGUAGUUUCGAAAGGACGAAGAAUACGUAAGUAAGUACGAUACGGAUCGAAAAUUGUUCCAUGAGGAUUAUCGGUGUUCGAAAGUUUAUGCGAACCUGUAAGCUCGAUAUUCAAACAAAUCGGCGGCGAGAAACAUAAAAAUUGCCAUAAAAUUUCGAGGGAUCAACGAAAGGGUUGGCGUGCGAUCGUACGAAGCGGACUCGGCGACAAAUGGAAAAGCAAAGACCCGAGAGAAGGCCCGAUUCCCUGCUAUAUUGUUUCUAUCGUUCGAUUUACUUUCCUCCUUUGUGUGUGUUUUUUCGUUCUCUCUCUCUCUUCUUUUUUGUUGUCUCUUCUUUUUUUAUUCUUUUACUUUUUUUCUUUUUUUUUUUUUUUUUGAGUUUCAUGAUCGGGCAUACUAUCGACGAUUCGAUUUCGAAAAAAA
Long non-coding RNA from Apis florea (little honeybee), 4876 nucleotides. The record is from RefSeq and is a predicted model, not a curated record. Lineage: Eukaryota; Metazoa; Arthropoda; Insecta; Hymenoptera; Apidae.